RNAcentral lists this transfer RNA (76 nucleotides) under Pseudomonadota bacterium. Its description in RNAcentral is "Proteobacteria bacterium tRNA-Trp". It matches the Rfam family "tRNA". From Rfam's summary of the family: Transfer RNA (tRNA) molecules are approximately 80 nucleotides in length. Their secondary structure includes four short double-helical elements and three loops (D, anti-codon, and T loops). Further hydrogen bonds mediate the characteristic L-shaped molecular structure. tRNAs have two regions of fundamental functional importance: the anti-codon, which is responsible for specific mRNA codon recognition, and the 3' end, to which the tRNAs corresponding amino acid is attached (by aminoacyl-tRNA synthetases). tRNAs cope with the degeneracy of the genetic code in two manners: having more than one tRNA (with a specific anti-codon) for a particular amino acid; and 'wobble' base-pairing, i.e. permitting non-standard base-pairing at the 3rd anti-codon position. The record is from RNAcentral. Lineage: Bacteria; Pseudomonadati; Pseudomonadota.
AGGGGUGUAGCUCCAGCGGUAGAGCGAGCGACUCCAAAUCGCUAGGUCGUGGGUUCGAAUCCCUCCGCCCCUGCCA